UACGUAGGGGGCAAGCGUUGUCCGGAAUUAUUGGGCGUAAAGAGCGCGUAGGCGGUCCGGUAAGUCGGUUGUGAAAGUCGGGGGCUCAACCCUCGGAUGCCGAUCGAUACUGUCGGGCUAGAGUCCGGAAGAGGCGAGUGGAAUUCCUGGUGUAGCGGUGAAAUGCGCAGAUAUCAGGAGGAACACCAAUGGCGAAGGCAGCUCGCUGGGACGGUAUUGACGCUGAGGUGCGAAAGCGUGGGGAGCAAACAGG
RNAcentral lists this ribosomal RNA (253 nucleotides) under uncultured bacterium. RNAcentral's name for it is "partial 16S ribosomal RNA". It matches the Rfam family "Bacterial small subunit ribosomal RNA", at positions 524 to 776 of the family's 1533-position model. The record is from RNAcentral.